CAGGGUGUAGCUCAGUGGCAGAGUGUUUGCCUUGCACACAAAAAGCCCUGGGUUCAGCCCAUGGCACCAUAA
This 72-nucleotide transfer RNA is filed under the name Cricetulus griseus (Chinese hamster). It matches the Rfam family "tRNA". Rfam says of the family: Transfer RNA (tRNA) molecules are approximately 80 nucleotides in length. Their secondary structure includes four short double-helical elements and three loops (D, anti-codon, and T loops). Lineage: Eukaryota; Metazoa; Chordata; Mammalia; Rodentia; Cricetidae. The record is from Rfam by way of RNAcentral.